CGAGUAAGCCAGACAAUCGCUGCUGACUUUUGUCAGGAGAGGAAAGUCCGAGCUCCGUAGGGCAGGGUGCUGGGUAACUCCCAGUGGAGGCGACUCUAAGGAUAGUGCAACAGAAAUAUACCGCCAGAAUCUAGUUAAUACUAGAUGAGUGCAGUGAAAACUGCCUGGUAAGGGUGGAAAGGUGAGGUAAGGGCUCACCAGCGCUAGGGUGAUCUAGUGGCUCUGUAAACCCCACCUGGAGCAAGACCGAAUAGGAAGACAAAUGGGGCUGCCCGUCCCGUCUUCGGGUGUGUCGCUGGAGCCUGUAUGGUAACAACAGGCCUAGAUAGAUGAUUGUCAAAUACAGAACUCGGCUUAUAGACUUAUCUCGCCAC
Clostridium amylolyticum is the source of this 374-nucleotide non-coding RNA. It matches the Rfam family "Bacterial RNase P class A". Rfam says of the family: Ribonuclease P (RNase P) is a ubiquitous endoribonuclease, found in archaea, bacteria and eukarya as well as chloroplasts and mitochondria. Its best characterised activity is the generation of mature 5'-ends of tRNAs by cleaving the 5'-leader elements of precursor-tRNAs. Lineage: Bacteria; Bacillati; Bacillota; Clostridia; Eubacteriales; Clostridiaceae. The record is from Rfam.